RNAcentral lists this ribosomal RNA (468 nucleotides) under uncultured bacterium. RNAcentral describes it as "partial 16S ribosomal RNA". It matches the Rfam family "Bacterial small subunit ribosomal RNA", at positions 28 to 507 of the family's 1533-position model. The record is from RNAcentral.
GACGAACGCUGGCGGCGUGCUUAACACAUGCAAGUCGAACGGAAAGGCCCUGCUUUUGUGGGGUGCUCGAGUGGCGAACGGGUGAGUAACACGUGAGUAACCUGCCCUUGACUUUGGGAUAACUUCAGGAAACUGGGGCUAAUACCGGAUAGGAGCUCCUGCUGCAUGGUGAGGGUUGGAAAGUUUCGGCGGUUGGGGAUGGACUCGCGGCUUAUCAGCUUGUUGGUGGGGUAGUGGCUUACCAAGGCUUUGACGGGUAGCCGGCCUGAGAGGGUGACCGGCCACAUUGGGACUGAGAUACGGCCCAGACUCCUACGGGAGGCAGCAGUGGGGAAUAUUGCACAAUGGGCGGAAGCCUGAUGCAGCAACGCCGCGUGCGGGAUGACGGCCUUCGGGUUGUAAACCGCUUUCGCCUGUGACGAAGCGUGAGUGACGGUAAUGGGUAAAGAAGCACCAGCUAACUACGUG